This 467-nucleotide ribosomal RNA is filed under the name uncultured bacterium. RNAcentral's name for it is "partial 16S ribosomal RNA". It matches the Rfam family "Bacterial small subunit ribosomal RNA", at positions 29 to 507 of the family's 1533-position model. The record is from RNAcentral.
ACGAACGCUGGCGGCGUGCUUAACACAUGCAAGUCGAACGGAAAGGCCCUGCUUUUGUGGGGUGCUCGAGUGGCGAACGGGUGAGUAACACGUGAGUAACCUGCCCUUGACUUUGGGAUAGCUUCAGGAAACUGGGGCUAAUGCCGGAUAGGAGCUCCUGCUGCAUGGUGGGGGUUGGAAAGUUUCGGCGGUUGGGGAUGGACUCGCGGCUUAUCAGCUUGUUGGUGGGGUAGUGGCUUACCAAGGCUUUGACGGGUAGCCGGCCUGAGAGGGUGACCGGCCACAUUGGGACUGAGAUACGGCCCAGACUCCUACGGGAGGCAGCAGUGGGGAAUAUUGCACAAUGGGCGGAAGCCUGAUGCAGCAACGCCGCGUGCGGGAUGACGGCCUUCGGGUUGUAAACCGCUUUCGCCUGUGACGAAGCGUGAGUGACGGUAAUGGGUAAAGAAGCACCGGCUAACUACGUG